GGCUUUAUAUUUGCAGCAGCACUACUAAAGUUGGCAGGAAUGUUGCUGCAGGAAAACAUCCCUGGAGAUCACCAUCAUUGUCAGACUGACUGUGCCUCCUCUGUGCAGUGUCAAGAUCCUCCCUAAAUGAGUGUUCCUCAGCUAUCCUGCUUCUGUGCUGCUUGCCACACAUCAAACACUGGCCG
This is a long non-coding RNA of Oreochromis aureus, 185 nucleotides long. RefSeq lists it as uncharacterized. The transcript is spliced from 3 exons. The record is from RefSeq and is a predicted model, not a curated record. NCBI's taxonomy places the organism in Eukaryota, Metazoa, Chordata, Actinopteri, Cichliformes, Cichlidae.